RNAcentral lists this unclassified non-coding RNA (201 nucleotides) under soil metagenome. Its description in RNAcentral is "partial internal transcribed spacer 1". The record is from RNAcentral.
AAGAUAUAGCAAUAUUCUUCUGAAUAUACUUUUAUUAACCCAUUCCGAGUACCUUAACCCGUUUGCCUUCCGCGAGGCUGUCCUCACGGCCCCUCUGAAGAUUUAUCUUUUGGGGAGUCCUUGCGGAAGGUAUACAAUUAAAAACUCCUUGCAUUAACCAUGUCUCAUCUGUCCUGAAUCUGUUUAAAAAAACAAAUAUUA